RNAcentral lists this non-coding RNA (110 nucleotides) under Bifidobacterium thermophilum. Its description in RNAcentral is "TPP sequence". It matches the Rfam family "TPP riboswitch aptamer (THI element)". From Rfam's summary of the family: Vitamin B(1) in its active form thiamin pyrophosphate (TPP) is an essential coenzyme that is synthesised by coupling of pyrimidine and thiazole moieties in bacteria. Lineage: Bacteria; Bacillati; Actinomycetota; Actinomycetes; Bifidobacteriales; Bifidobacteriaceae. The record is from RNAcentral.
AGCAAUCGACACGGGGGCUUGGCUACAGCCAGGCUGAGAUGGGGGUUUCCUCCGACCGAAUGAACGUGAACCGGGCAAUGCCGGCGCACGGACGUCGCUCUUCCCGUGCC